This 605-nucleotide long non-coding RNA is filed under the name Elaeis guineensis (African oil palm). Its description in RNAcentral is "long non-coding RNA (EGUI_LNC066857)". Lineage: Eukaryota; Viridiplantae; Streptophyta; Magnoliopsida; Arecales; Arecaceae. The record is from RNAcentral.
AUUUCAAUUUAGCAAAACCUUGGCCAGGGUAAUCCAUUAGAUGGAUUUGAUAUUUUGAAAUACAAUGUGGACAACCUGAUCAGAGUUGACAGUUGAACUCUGGGGUGUCCUAUGAUUAUUUUGGUCAAGGAGAUGAAUUAUAUGAAAACUAUAUCCGCAUGGGUUCUAAGGAUGUUGUUCUACACAUUCGACCUAUCCGAUCGUCGGGUACCAUUGCUAGAUGGUCACUUCGAUUGGUAUAAAAAUUUAUUCUUAUACUACCGGCUUAGGUUCGGACCUAUGAGGUCAUACACAUUAGAGUUCAUGAUCUGAUCGGAUGGUUGAUCAACGAUUAAGAAUCAUUCUAGGGUUAAAUGAUCAAUACGAUUGACAUUUAACCCAGUGCAAGUGUUGCAGGAGGAUCGAUUAGCAAUUCGAUUACUAAUUGGCUUAAUUUGAUUAAGUCAAUAGGCUGAGAUUAAGUCUAAUUAAAUAUGAUUUAAUUAGAUUUAGUUUGGGCUAGAUUGGAUCAAGUCCAAUUGGUUUAUUGGAUAAGCCAAGUGCAAGGAAAAACUAGUCCUAGUUCAACUAGGACUUGGGUCAAUCUAAUUUCUAAUUUGAUUAGA